Carya illinoinensis is the source of this 692-nucleotide long non-coding RNA. RefSeq lists it as uncharacterized. Lineage: Eukaryota; Viridiplantae; Streptophyta; Magnoliopsida; Fagales; Juglandaceae. The record is from RefSeq and is a predicted model, not a curated record. The transcript is spliced from 4 exons.
UUUUUUUUAAAACCCGAAAACGGCACCAUUGCUGGAUUGAAUACUUCCUUCGAUGUCUCUCGAAUCCUCUGCACUUUUCAUCCCCUCUCUCAACUCUGUCUCGUCUCUCGUCUCUCGCCGCUCGUCUCUCAAGUCUCUCAAAUCCUCCUCCUCAAGUCCCUAGCCGUGCCAUUGCGAUUGUGAAAUAGCGUGGGAUGACACUCAAAAGUCACACAGAUUGAGGCAUAGAAUACAUAAAUCGUCUGGGUCAUCUCAUAGGACUAUGAGCAGAUCUCUCUCAUGUGACUCGCAGUCUAAGGGGUCUGUUUCUACUCCUCGUGGGUCCGUGGUGGAUGCCAUACCCAACCCAUCAAAAGAGCAAUUAGUAGAUGUUGUUCAGAGGCAUUUCAUGUCACAGCAAAUCGACGAGUUGCAAGUCAUUGUGGGAUUUGUUUAGGCUGCAAAGAGAAUGAAGACUCUGUGCAAAUGACGAUUCACGAAGAGAGAAAUGAAGAGCUAUGAAUUUGGUUGUUUAUGCUAACAGAUACUGCACUUAAAAAAUAUCCACUCCCCUCUAGUGAUUGUCUGUAAUAUAUUUUAUCCAGUGGCUUGUCUCUGUCUUGCUUUAGUAGGUUAGUAUUACUUUGUACCGAGUUAUAGACGUUCUUACUUUAUUUUUUUUCUUCGAUUAAUUUUUUUAGAAAAUUCUUUUA